RNAcentral lists this microRNA (23 nucleotides) under Caenorhabditis elegans. RNAcentral describes it as "cel-miR-8200-3p". The record is from miRBase by way of RNAcentral. Lineage: Eukaryota; Metazoa; Nematoda; Chromadorea; Rhabditida; Rhabditidae.
UCUGACGGGAGAUUUGAGCCAUC